CUUUUUGAGAGUUUGAUCCUGGCUCAGGAUGAACGCUGGCGGCGUGUUUUAGGCAUGCAAGUCGAACGAAUUUUGUCGCAAGACAAGAUGAGUGGCAAACGGGUGCGUAACACAUUGGUAACCUACCUUAGACACGGGCACAACGCCGCGAAAGCGGCGCUAAUACCCGAUAGUUUUUCCUGUCGCCGGAUGGGAAAGUAAAUGGCGCAAGCCGGUCUGAGAGGGGCCUAUGGUCUAUCAGCUAGUUGGUGAGGUAAUGGCUCACCAAGGCAAUGACAGAUAGCGGGCGUGAGAGCGCGACCCGCCUCAGUGGGACUGAGACACUGCCCACACUCCUACGGGAGGCUGCAGUCAAGAAUAUUCCCCAAUGGACGAAAGUCUGAGGGAGCGACGCCGCGUGCAGGAAGAAACCCCUCGGGGCGUAAACUGCUUUUCUCUGGGAAUAACUCUGAAGGUACCAGAGGAAUAAGAGGCUGCUAACUUCGUGCCAGCAGCAGCGGUAAUACGAAGGCCUCAAGCGUUAUCCGGAUUUAUUGGGCGUAAAGAGUUCAACGGUGGUUUGGAACGUUCUCGGUCAAAUUGCAUCGCUCAACGGUGCAACUGCUGGGAAAACGGCCAGACUUGAGCCUGGGAGAGGCAGACGGAAUUGUCGGUGUAGUAGUAAAAUGCGCUAAUAUCGACAAGAACACCAAUAGCGAAGGCAGUCUGCUGGAACAGUGCUGACACUUCACGAACGAAAGCGUGGGGAGCGAUACGGAUUAGAUACCCGUGUAGUCCACGCCGUAAACGAUGGGUACUAGGCAUUGCGGGAUUCGACCCCUGCAGUGUCGGUUAGACGAGCUAACGCGUUAAGUACCCCGCCUGGGGAGUACGGCCGCAAGGCUAAAACUCAAAGGAAUUGACGGGAGCCCGCACAAGUGGUGGAGCAUGUGGUUUAAUUCGACGAUAAACGAGGAACCUUACCAGGUCUUGACAUCCCGAGAAAGCCGCCGAAAGGUGGCCGUGCCGCAAGGAACUCGGUGACAGGUGCUGCAUGGCUGUCGUCAGCUCGUGUCGUGAGACGUUGGGUUAAGUCCCCUAACGAGCGCAACCCUCGUGUUAUGUUAAAAUAUUCAUAACAGACUGCCGGCUUUAAGCCGGAGGAAGGCGAGGAUGACGUCAAGUCAGCAUGGUCCUCUGACGACCUGGGCUACACACGUGCUACAAUGGGGCGCAACAAAGGGACGCCAACCCGCAAGGGGGAGCCAAUCCCAUCAAACCGCCCCUCAGUUCAGAUUGAGGGCUGCAACUCGCCCUCAUGAAGCUGGAAUCACUAGUAACCGCGCAUCAGCUAUGGUGCGGUGAAUACGUUCUCGGGCUUUGUACACACCGCCCGUCACGCCAAGAGAGUCGGAAAUGCCUGAAGCUUCCACUUCGGUGGGAAUUAAGGCAGGUUCGAUGAUAGGGGCGAAGUCGUAACAAGGCAUCGGUAGCGGAAGCUGUCGAUGGAUCACCUCCUUU
This 1500-nucleotide ribosomal RNA is filed under the name bacterium. Its description in RNAcentral is "bacterial SSU rRNA". It matches the Rfam family "Bacterial small subunit ribosomal RNA". The record is from RNAcentral.